RNAcentral lists this ribosomal RNA (352 nucleotides) under uncultured bacterium. RNAcentral's name for it is "bacterial SSU rRNA". It matches the Rfam family "Bacterial small subunit ribosomal RNA", at positions 527 to 881 of the family's 1533-position model. The record is from RNAcentral.
GGAAGGUCCGGGCGUUAUCCGGAUUUAUUGGGUUUAAAGGGAGCGUAGGCCGGAGAUUAAGCGUGUUGUGAAAUGUAGAGGCUCAACCUCUGCACUGCAGCGCGAACUGGUCUUCUUGAGUACGCACAACGUGGGCGGAAUUCGUGGUGUAGCGGUGAAAUGCUUAGAUAUCACGAAGAACUCCGAUUGCGAAGGCAGCUCACGGGAGCGCAACUGACGCUGAAGCUCGAAAGUGCGGGUAUCGAACAGGAUUAGAUACCCUGGUAGUCCGCACGGUAAACGAUGGAUGCCCGCUGUUGGCCUGAAUAGGUCAGCGGCCAAGCGAAAGCAUUAAGCAUCCCACCUGGGGAGU